Long non-coding RNA from Ornithorhynchus anatinus (platypus), 1023 nucleotides. RefSeq lists it as uncharacterized. The record is from RefSeq and is a predicted model, not a curated record. The transcript is spliced from 3 exons. Lineage: Eukaryota; Metazoa; Chordata; Mammalia; Monotremata; Ornithorhynchidae.
UAGUACAGUAUUUCCUGCAGAUUUGUGCAGACGUUCAACUACCAACUGUGAAGGGAAAUACUCUGGAGAAGAUUAAUAAUGUAGUUCUGGAACAUAAAACCAUUUUGGCAAUGCACUAAAGUUUCAACCAAGCUCUGCAUCUCACAGCUGAAGAGCUGAAAGAAAAGAGAAGAAAAGAAAAGAGAAGAAAAGAAAAAAAAGGAAUGUCUUUCUACAGAUGGAUUGCAGGGAAUGUAAAGAAGAGUGCCAGUGAGAGGCAUUCAUUUCUGAACUCACUGUUUUUACCAGCUUGGAAGCAGGAGCGGAUUUGAAAGUGCACUGGUGCUUAAACAGGACUGAAGACUACUCUUAUUUGUAUUCCCCUGCCGUGCGCACACACAAGAAGACAUACAGAUGAUUAAGAACCCCUUUUCAGAAUCAGCAAAGCAUAUGAAUUGUCAGUUACCCGGAAGAUGGAGUUUAUAUAGACCAGCCUGGAUCCAGCAGGCCCUUCACACAACCAAGGUCUUUGGCAUCUUAGGUUCAAUAUUGCCACUGAACUCUUCAACCUAAGCAGAAUGUCAUACUAUGUUGCAAGGACAAACGAAGAUAGACAGCCAAAUCAAGUAAGUGGGCAUGCAGGCUGAACUGAAGGAAAUAUUGAAGUUUCUGACUUCUUCAGGGGUUGUGAACUCUGGAUUUUCCACAGGCGACAUGUAUGACUUCUAAAGCAGUUUCAACAAAACCACCUGCCAUACACAACAUUUCAUGGCCCGUCAAAGUCACCAGUGGGUUCUACAUCACUCCAAAAACUGCUACCGUAGACAAUGGAGAAAACAAACCAGUGCUUAAGGCUGGGUACCAAAUGCAAAACCUACCCAAGGGGCAAUCUCUUGAGUUUAGUAGUUACAUCUCCCUACAUUAAUAAAAAUGUCACUAGGGGGACCAAUUUUUUUUUAGGACAUUUGUGUAGCACUUUAUGUCUUUCAAGCACUGUAUUAAGUGUUGGGGUGGAUACACAGUCCGCCACGUACCUCCCAGUCA